RNAcentral lists this ribosomal RNA (456 nucleotides) under uncultured Sphingobacteriales bacterium. RNAcentral describes it as "bacterial SSU rRNA". It matches the Rfam family "Bacterial small subunit ribosomal RNA", at positions 923 to 1382 of the family's 1533-position model. The record is from RNAcentral. Lineage: Bacteria; Pseudomonadati; Bacteroidota; Sphingobacteriia; Sphingobacteriales.
GCACAAGCGGAGGAACAUGUGGUUAAUUCGAUGAUACGCGAGGAACCUUACCUGGGCUUAAAUGUAGAGUGCAUUUUUUAGAGAUAGAAAUUCCCUUCGGGGCUUUCUGCAAGGUGCUGCAUGGUUGUCGUCAGCUCGUGCCGUGAGGUGUCGGGUUAAGUCCCAUAACGAGCGCAACCCUUAUCGUUAGUUGCCAUCUGGUAAUGCAGGGGACUCUAGCGAAACUGCCACCGUAAGGUGAGAGGAAGUGGGAUGACGUCAAAUCAGCACGGCCCUUAUGUCCAGGGCUACACACGUGUUACAAUGGUCGGUACAGAGGGCAGCUACCUGGUGACAGGAUGCUAAUCUCGAAAACCGGUCUCAGUUCGGAUCGAAGUCUGCAACUCGACUUCGUGAAGCUGGAUUCGCUAGUAGUCGCGCAUCAGCUAUGGCGCGGUGAAUACGUUCCCGGGCCUU